AAUGUUUUCUAAAAGUCAUCA
Molecule: small RNA, 21 nt
Filed under: Arabidopsis thaliana (thale cress)
Lineage: Eukaryota; Viridiplantae; Streptophyta; Magnoliopsida; Brassicales; Brassicaceae
Description: ATSL053120
Source: RNAcentral